This is a long non-coding RNA of Dioscorea cayenensis subsp. rotundata (Guinea yam), 656 nucleotides long. RefSeq lists it as uncharacterized. The record is from RefSeq and is a predicted model, not a curated record. The transcript is spliced from 3 exons. NCBI's taxonomy places the organism in Eukaryota, Viridiplantae, Streptophyta, Magnoliopsida, Dioscoreales, Dioscoreaceae.
AUGAGAUGGUGUAUGAGGGUGGUCAAGUUGUGAAGGUUGAAUCAGUAGAUAUUGACUACUUAUCUUAUUUCAGCUUGUGGGAUUAUUUUGGGAAAGAACAGAGCAUCCUGAUAUUCAAUCCAACCUGUUCCUAGCCAAGAUAGUAACAUUCAAUCCAACCUGUUCCUAGCCAAGAUAGUUGGGAAAGAACAGAGCAUCCUGAUAUUCAUCCAUGGACUGUGAAGAAGCCCCCUGGUAGGCCUAGAAGAAAAAGAACGAAGAAACCAGAUGAGCCAAAAAAUCCUUACAAGGUUUCCAGGGCAGGUAAGAGUGUGGUGUGUGGCAAUUGUCAUCAAAUUGGGCAUAAUAUACAAGGAUGUAAAGCAUCUGUCACUGGAGAGAGUGCAUGGCAAAAGAGAGUUAGAAUUCAGAAAGCAAAGGCAAGUGGAACUUAUGUUCCAAGCGAGAACCCACCAAAUAAGGGAGGGAGACCAAGGAAGAGAAAAAACACAACAGAAGUAUGUAACUCACAUGUUGGUUUACAGGCUAAUUCUACUGCGAGUACACAAGAUGAUGUAAUUCAUAGCCAAACAACCAUUGAACAAGCUAGUUUGGCAAGACAAGCUAGGAAUGAUGUGUCACUGCCAAGCAGAGUAUCAACCUUGCAAGCACCUACC